Molecule: long non-coding RNA, 289 nt
Filed under: Musa acuminata (dwarf banana)
Lineage: Eukaryota; Viridiplantae; Streptophyta; Magnoliopsida; Zingiberales; Musaceae
Description: long non-coding RNA (MACU_LNC008154)
Source: RNAcentral
GUUCCAAAUCCUUCCUGUUCUUUGGAAGAUGGUUCAAGUGUUCAUCGGGUUCAAAAUGUUCCAAAAGUGUCAUUUCAUAGGUCAUUAAUGAUCCGAUUAAUUCUUCUAAUGGAAAAUCAUUUAAAUUUUUUGUCUCUUGUAUUGCGGUUAUUUUAGGAUCCCAACUUUUUGGAAGGGAUCUUAAGAUCUUACUUAUGAGAUCAAAAUUCGAAAAAGAUUUACCAAGAACUCUUAGAUUAUUGACGACAUCCGUGAAACGGGUGUACAUGUCGCCUAUAGUCUCGCUUGG